Molecule: non-coding RNA, 1120 nt
Organism: Microcebus murinus (gray mouse lemur)
Lineage: Eukaryota; Metazoa; Chordata; Mammalia; Primates; Cheirogaleidae
Source: RefSeq, a predicted model, not a curated record
UGUAGGGGGGGAGGCCUGGAUCAUGACACCGCAGAGGAAGGACGGGCAAAGGGUUAGGGUGUGAGGUCGAACAUCAGGAUGGUGGCUUGGGGUCAGAGAUCAAGGUGCAUCAGGGUCUUGGGAAUCAAAGGGGGUAAGGGAUUGGUCAGAGAUUCAGUUGGAGGUCAGAGUGUGUCGGGGUCAACAUACUGGAGCAAAAGGCAUAGAUAAAUAGGAUCUGGGCAUCAAGGGUCAUCUGGGCAUGGGCUGGGGUUAGAGGUCAUGGGACCCAGUUGUUGCACAAUCUGGUCAGAAUCUGAGGGUGGAAAUCAGGAUUCUAUCAGAACUCAGAAAUCACAUAUCAAAGAUUGGGAGUCACAGGGUUUGGGGCCAGAGGUUUGGGGUCACGGAGUCCGGGGUCAAAUAAACUAGGAUCAGAGGAUACUUUGGAGUUGGAGCCAAUGAAGCGAAGGUUUAGGGGAUGCAGAGCUAAGGCUGGGGGUUAAGGAGAAGACAAGGACGUGGGGUCAGGAGGCAGACAGAAGACUUGAGGUCAAGCUGGGAUAAGGUAAUAAGAUUCAAGUUCAAAGGUCACAGCAUCUGGGACUGAGGAAGAAGACCCAUUCCCAGACCGGCUGCAGUGCCUCGACCUCCCCCUGGUCUCCGACGACACCUGCCGUGCCGUGUACCCUGGGAGAAUCACGGACAACAUGGUGUGUGCGGGCGGCAUCGCUGGGCAGGAUGCCUGCCAGGUGAGCCUGUCACCCAGGACAGGAAGGGAGGGGGACAGACUGAAGCAGGAGGGUGACUGAGGGGAGACAGGGAGUCAGGGAGAGACGGCGGAAGAGACAGAUGGGGCCCAAAAGGAGAGAGACACAAAACAAGGGAGACAGAGGCAGAGAAUAGGAGGGAGGACCAGAAAAUGGAGAAGGAGGGGCAGAGAGGAUAGAGGGAGGGCGGCAGCAGAGGAGAGGUGGGGCAGGGGGCACAACGAGAGGGAGGGGUUGGGACAAGAACUGGCAGGGACAGGCAGCCACUGUCUCUGGGGCUCUAAGCCUUUCCCAUACCAGCCUGCAGCUGGUGCCGCCCCAGCUUGAGAGAGAGAUUUGAGGAUGGAGUCAGGACAGGGAGCCAGGGGACC